GUCAGCGUAGUUUAUGGAAAAUAUAACAUUGAAAAUGUUAAGAUGGGCCUUUAAAAGCCCCGGUAACA
This 68-nucleotide transfer RNA is filed under the name Tetrabrachium ocellatum (four-armed frogfish). RNAcentral describes it as "tRNA-Phe". It matches the Rfam family "tRNA". From Rfam's summary of the family: Transfer RNA (tRNA) molecules are approximately 80 nucleotides in length. Their secondary structure includes four short double-helical elements and three loops (D, anti-codon, and T loops). Lineage: Eukaryota; Metazoa; Chordata; Actinopteri; Lophiiformes; Tetrabrachiidae. The record is from RNAcentral.